This 414-nucleotide ribosomal RNA is filed under the name uncultured microorganism. RNAcentral describes it as "bacterial SSU rRNA". It matches the Rfam family "Archaeal small subunit ribosomal RNA", at positions 459 to 872 of the family's 1478-position model. The record is from RNAcentral.
CAGCAGCCGCGGUAAUACCGGCGGCCCGAGUGGCGGUCACUAUUAUUGGGCUUAAAGCGUCCGUAGCCGGGUUGGGAAGUCCUCCGGGAAAUCUGGCCGCUUAACGGUCAGAAUGCCGGAGGAUACUCCCAGCCUAGGGAGCGGGGGAGGCCGAGGGUAUUCCCGGAGUAGGGGUGAAAUCCUAUAAUCCCGGGAGGACCACCUGUGGCGAAGGCGCUCGGCUGGAACGCGUCCGACGGUGAGGGACGAAGGCCAGGGGAGCAAACCGGAUUAGAUACCCGGGUAGUCCUGGCUGUAAACGAUGCGGACUUUGUGUCGGACAAGCUAUGAGCUUGUCCGGUGCCGGAGGGAAACCGUUAAGUCCGCCGCCUGGGGAGUACGGCCGCAAGGCUGAAACUUAAAGGAAUUGGCGGG